AUUGAACGCUGGCGGCAUGCCUUACACAUGCAAGUCGAACGGCAGCACGGGAGCAAUCCUGGUGGCGAGUGGCGAACGGGUGAGUAAUAUAUCGGAACGUGCCCAGUCGUGGGGAUAACGUAGCGAAAGCUACGCUAAUACCGCAUACGAUCUAUGGAUGAAAGCGGGGGAUCGCAAGACCUCGCGCGAUUGGAGCGGCCGAUAUCAGAUUAGGUAGUUGGUGAGGUAAAGGCUCACCAAGCCGACGAUCUGUAGCUGGUCUGAGAGGACGACCAGCCACACUGGGACUGAGACACGGCCCAGACUCCUACGGGAGGCAGCAGUGGGGAAUAUUGGACAAUGGGCGGCAAGCCUGAUCCAGCAAUGCCGCGUGCAGGAUGAAGGCCUUCGGUU
This 393-nucleotide ribosomal RNA is filed under the name uncultured bacterium. Its description in RNAcentral is "bacterial SSU rRNA". It matches the Rfam family "Bacterial small subunit ribosomal RNA", at positions 30 to 423 of the family's 1533-position model. The record is from RNAcentral.